RNAcentral lists this non-coding RNA (118 nucleotides) under human gut metagenome. RNAcentral's name for it is "FMN riboswitch (RFN element)". It matches the Rfam family "FMN riboswitch aptamer (RFN element)". From Rfam's summary of the family: The RFN element is a highly conserved domain that is found frequently in the 5'-untranslated regions of prokaryotic mRNAs that encode for flavin mononucleotide (FMN) biosynthesis and transport proteins. This element is a metabolite-dependent riboswitch that directly binds FMN in the absence of proteins. The record is from RNAcentral.
UUCUUCGGGGCAGGGUGCAAUUCCCAACCGGCGGUAUAGUCCGCGACCUGUUAUCUUCGGAUAAUGGCUGAUUUGGUGCAAUUCCAAAACCGACAGUAAAGUCUGGAUGAGAGAAGAA